UGACAGUGAUGACGAGUACGAUCGAAG
RNAcentral lists this non-coding RNA (27 nucleotides) under Homo sapiens (human). Lineage: Eukaryota; Metazoa; Chordata; Mammalia; Primates; Hominidae. The record is from RNAcentral.